RNAcentral lists this transfer RNA (74 nucleotides) under Nannocystis exedens. RNAcentral describes it as "tRNA-Trp". It matches the Rfam family "tRNA". Rfam says of the family: Transfer RNA (tRNA) molecules are approximately 80 nucleotides in length. Their secondary structure includes four short double-helical elements and three loops (D, anti-codon, and T loops). Lineage: Bacteria; Pseudomonadati; Myxococcota; Nannocystales; Nannocystaceae. The record is from RNAcentral.
CAGGGGAGAGGUGUUGAUGGUGACAUGCGGGACUCCAAAUCCUGCGAACCGGGUUCGAGUCCCGGCUCCCCUGU